UCGAUUUUGCUCGUUUUCGUCGCCGCGCUUGUUCUUCGCUGUUUGCGAGCAUCGCAGAGCUUACGUGGACGUGUGAGAGAGUAUUUUGGAAGGCUUUUCGCAGCCCUGAACCAGGAGGUCACUGGUGGGAAGUCUAAGAAGGUAAUCGGCUCAACUUUUCCGUUAUCGACGUUCUAUUAGUCGCUUUGAGUAUGGAUUUCGAGUUUAUGCUUCUAGCUGUAUUCUUCUGAGGUUUCAGCAAGUAUAAAUGAGUUAUUUAGCUGCGGCUUAACCUCCUUAAAUCUGGGAUAAGCUACUUUGAAGCUCAGUAGAGUUAAGUAGGUCAUUUUGAAGCGAUUUCGGCACCUUAUGCGACUUGUUAAUGCAGUUUUGUAUGUUGUUUUCGCAGCAGGUUUUCGAAUCUAAUUGAAUGUAAUUAGUGACCUUGGGGAUUAGUGUGGAAGGUGUUUUAACCCGAGGAAAGCAAGAAUUUCAGCGAUAGCGCUUUUGACCUUGGGAUCAUCUUCUGUUGGCAUUGGAGUGUCAUUAGGGGCUUAACUUGAGCAGGAUUGCAGCCUUGUUGAGUUACAUAUUGGGAUUUCUUGUGACUGAUUGGAGCUUCAUAAUAGGUGGGUCGGACCUAACCAGAACAAGUGGAACUCCCCUAUGUUCUAUAUGUAUUAUAGAAUCAAUGUUGUCGUGGGCUUUUGUGUAUUCGAUAUAAAACUUGAGACGAGUCGCUAUACUUUAGAAUAAUUGAAUUACAAUCUCUUUAUUAUGUUCCUAGAACUAGAAAACAAUGACAUGCUUGUAGAGAACAGUGACACUCUCCUGACUGCUCUAAAGUAGAGAACAAGAACAUGCUGGAUGCCUAUGUUAGUCUUAUAUGUUACUAGUGGAUACUAGCUAUUGUUCAUAUGCUUGAUCUUUUUAUACUGAAAUUCCGAUCAAAGGAUCGAGGGUA
Molecule: long non-coding RNA, 943 nt
Organism: Ananas comosus (pineapple)
Lineage: Eukaryota; Viridiplantae; Streptophyta; Magnoliopsida; Poales; Bromeliaceae
Exons: 3
Source: RefSeq, a predicted model, not a curated record